GGCAAUAACUUGAGCAAACA
RNAcentral lists this microRNA (20 nucleotides) under Arabidopsis thaliana (thale cress). RNAcentral describes it as "ath-miR773b-5p". Its record names the gene ath-miR773b-5p. Lineage: Eukaryota; Viridiplantae; Streptophyta; Magnoliopsida; Brassicales; Brassicaceae. The record is from miRBase by way of RNAcentral.